RNAcentral lists this ribosomal RNA (528 nucleotides) under Rhipicephalus evertsi evertsi. RNAcentral's name for it is "SSU rRNA". It matches the Rfam family "Eukaryotic small subunit ribosomal RNA", at positions 56 to 576 of the family's 1831-position model. Lineage: Eukaryota; Metazoa; Arthropoda; Arachnida; Ixodida; Ixodidae. The record is from RNAcentral.
UGACUAGUACAUGCCGAAAUAAGGCGAAACCGCGAAUGGCUCAUUAAAUCAGUUAUGGUUCCUUAGAUCGUUUCUUCCUACUUGGAUAACUGUGGCAAUUCUAGAGCUAAUACAUGCAGUGAGCCUGGAGCCCUUUGGGUAACGGGUGCUUUUAUUAGACCAAGAUCGAUCGGGUUUCGGCCCGUAUUGUGUGGUGACUCUGGAUAACUUUGUGCUGAUCGCAUGGCCACGAGCCGGCGACGUUUCUUUCAAGUGUCUGCCUUAUCAACUUUCGAUGGUAGGUUACUUGCUUACCAUGGUUGUUACGGGUAACGGAGAAUCAGGGUUCGAUUCCGGAGAGGGAGCCUGAGAAACGGCUACCACAUCCAAGGAAGGCAGCAGGCGCGCAAAUUACCCACUCCCGGCACGGGGAGGUAGUGACGAAAAAUAACAAUACGGGACUCUUUUGAGGCCCCGUAAUUGAAAUGAGUACACUCUAAAUCCUUUAACGAGGAUCAAUUGGAGGGCAAGUCUGGUCCCAAGCAGCCA